Molecule: transfer RNA, 65 nt
Filed under: Dipodomys ordii (Ord's kangaroo rat)
Lineage: Eukaryota; Metazoa; Chordata; Mammalia; Rodentia; Heteromyidae
Rfam family: tRNA
About the family: Transfer RNA (tRNA) molecules are approximately 80 nucleotides in length. Their secondary structure includes four short double-helical elements and three loops (D, anti-codon, and T loops). Further hydrogen bonds mediate the characteristic L-shaped molecular structure. tRNAs have two regions of fundamental functional importance: the anti-codon, which is responsible for specific mRNA codon recognition, and the 3' end, to which the tRNAs corresponding amino acid is attached (by aminoacyl-tRNA synthetases). tRNAs cope with the degeneracy of the genetic code in two manners: having more than one tRNA (with a specific anti-codon) for a particular amino acid; and 'wobble' base-pairing, i.e. permitting non-standard base-pairing at the 3rd anti-codon position.
Source: Rfam by way of RNAcentral
GGUGGCUCAGUGGUAGAGUGCCUGCCUUGUAUGCACGAGGCCCUGAGUUCUAUUCCUCAGCACCA